Non-coding RNA from Camellia sinensis, 1041 nucleotides. The record is from RefSeq and is a predicted model, not a curated record. Lineage: Eukaryota; Viridiplantae; Streptophyta; Magnoliopsida; Ericales; Theaceae.
AAGUAUGUGAACCACAAGAUAUACCCCUCUUUCUCUCUCUCUCUCUCUUCUCCUUCUCUCUCUUUUCUCUCCAUCGACAUCUCACACAAACACACGAGCACCACCAGCCACUGCCCCUCGGAUGAUGUUAGUUACACGAGCACCAAUCGAUUGAUUCCGAGCUUGGCAUUUGAUUUUAAUUCCGGGCCUUGGAUUAAUUCGUUUCAUUUCAACUUUAUGAUCUCAAGCAGCAAGGAUUCAUAGAGAGACAGGAGUUUAUGAGAUGGAAGAGUACAUCUUAUGUUUAAUGUUGUUGGGGACAUUGCUUGGUGCAAUGGCAAAAAGUUUGGGCUGUCAAGUGUAGUACACAGGUUCAAGUCUGAGAACAACUACUUCGUCCAAUUAAAGGUAAAGGUUAGGAACACUCAACAUGAACUUUUUCCAGUUUCUGCGGGAGAUUGAUGCUGCUCUAGUUGGAUGUGCUGUGUCUGUUGUAAACGAAUCUCUCUUUGUUUAUCUCAAGCUUCAAGGAACUCUUAAUGCAGAAGCAGAACGUGAAAAGCUCAAAAAGAUGGAAGAUAUACAAAAGCAAGUGUUUUUUCUCAACUGAAAACUGUUCAGCACUCUAUACAAGAUUGGACCAGACAACAGGUGGCCACCCUGUUUUGGCCAACAGUCAUAUGCAAUGGUCCUUGAGAUUCAACUUAGAGGCUAUGACAUCUAACUGAUGUAUGACUUUGGUCACACUGUUAUUAUGGUCCAAAGACAUCUUCUUGUGGAUAUCCUCUCUUAAGAUAGAUCAAGGUGCAUGUCCCUUGGGGAUUAUUGGGAUGAACCACCUUGGAAAAACACUAAUUGUAGUCGCCAAGGUUAGUAUACAAGUGUCAUGGUCCACCCAUGACUGUGGUGCCACCUGAAGGUGUCCUUCAGCUCUGUUUGGACCCUUGGUUAGUCUGUGAGAUGUAAUGAUGUUUUUAAUUGAAUUAAAACUAUUGUAUUUUUGAAAUUACUAUUAGCUGUGAUGCAAUCUUUUAAUGAAUUAGUUUUAGAUAUUUUUUUCCA